UGGAGGACUGAGAAGGUUGGACAGCUUCUUCUGUGCUGUUAUAACUGGUUAUAGCCUCCAAGAGUAGUAAACAAACCACAUGAUUAAUUCAGCCUGUUCUACGCAGAGCUGAGAUGUGUUUGUGGAUCAUUUU
Astatotilapia calliptera (eastern happy) is the source of this 133-nucleotide small nucleolar RNA. Ensembl annotates it as Small nucleolar RNA SNORA47. NCBI's taxonomy places the organism in Eukaryota, Metazoa, Chordata, Actinopteri, Cichliformes, Cichlidae. The record is from Ensembl.